UACAAAAACCGAGAUCGUCGAGCUUCCAUAUAUGGCCGAACGCAAGCAAAGGGCUCCUGUAAGAGUUGAGGUGGUGAGGGACUAUGGCGAGGGUAAGCUGAUGACUAGGCCCUUAAGUCCCGGGGAAUGGCGGGAGAGUUCAAGUCCUGUUCGGUAUCAUACUGAAGAGAAAUGGAAUAAGCCUUCUAGACCCGUUCAGUAUGACGUCGAAGAGAAAUGGAAUAAGCCAUCGAGUCCUGUUCGGUAUCGUGUCGAAGAGAAAUGGAAUAAGCCCUCUAGUCCUGUUCGGUAUCGUGUCGAAGAGAAAUGGAAUAAGCCAUCUAGUCCUGUUGGUUAUGGUGUCGAAGAGAAAUGGAGUAGGCCUUCGAGUCCUGUUCGGUACCAUGUCGAAGAGAAAUGGACGAACCGGCCUUCAAGUCCGGUUAAGGAACGUCCACAACAAGUUCCGGAUUUCAUUACCAAAGUUCAAACUCAAG
Molecule: long non-coding RNA, 476 nt
Filed under: Gossypium raimondii (Peruvian cotton)
Lineage: Eukaryota; Viridiplantae; Streptophyta; Magnoliopsida; Malvales; Malvaceae
Description: long non-coding RNA (GRAI_LNC010936)
Source: RNAcentral